This 265-nucleotide unclassified non-coding RNA is filed under the name Hevea brasiliensis (rubber tree). The record is from RNAcentral. Lineage: Eukaryota; Viridiplantae; Streptophyta; Magnoliopsida; Malpighiales; Euphorbiaceae.
ACGAUGCUGCCUUGGAUGUUCAGCAGGAAGGGGGCUUCUGGGUUUUCAUGGAACUCAACGGCUGAGGAAGUCACACAAGGGCUUGAUGGAUCCGGCCUCACCGCCAUCGUUACAGGGGCAUCUAGUGGGAUUGGAUCUGAAACAGCUCGUGUUCUUGCAUUACGUGGCAUUCAUGUUUUCAUGGCAGUCAGAAAUUUGUCUACUGGUGCUAAUGUCAAAGACACAAUACUCAAGGAAAUUCCCACUGCUAAAAUUGAUGUCAUGG